GAUGAAGAACGUAGCGAAAUGCGAUAAGUAAUGUGAAUUGCAGAAUUCAGUGAAUCAUCGAAUCUUUGAACGCACCUUGCACCCUUUGGCAUUCUGAAGGGUAUGCUCGUUUGAGUGUCAUUGUACUCUCACACUCCCGAUCUUUGCAUUGGGAGCAGUGGACUUGGGUUUGCUGCUUCACCGUCGCUUACCUCAAAUAGGUUAGUGCAACUCUUGGUUGGACAUAGUACGGCGUGAUAAGUGUUCUUCGCCGGUGCCUCGCAAAGAGGGUGGCCGAUCGGGAUGUUGUGCUCCAAACCGUCUUCGGACAAUCUCUGACGACUUGACCUCAAAUCGAGUAGACUACCCGCUGAACUUAAGCAUAUCAAUAAGCGGAGGA
RNAcentral lists this unclassified non-coding RNA (379 nucleotides) under soil metagenome. Its description in RNAcentral is "partial contains 5.8S ribosomal RNA, internal transcribed spacer 2, and large subunit ribosomal RNA". The stretch from base 1 to 120 matches the Rfam family "5.8S ribosomal RNA", at positions 35 to 154 of the family's 154-position model. The record is from RNAcentral.